This 146-nucleotide unclassified non-coding RNA is filed under the name uncultured fungus. Its description in RNAcentral is "sequence contains ITS1, 5.8S rRNA gene". Lineage: Eukaryota; Fungi. The record is from RNAcentral.
CCAAAGAUGGCGGGCCUCCGUGCCCCCGUCCCCAACCCAUUGUUGACCAAAACCCUUUUGCCUCGGGGGCAGAGCGUCCGCCGCCGCCCCCGGAGGACCACCUAACGCUGUCUCUUUGCGUCGGAGUAAUCGAUGGAAAUGAAUGA